Molecule: long non-coding RNA, 2448 nt
Organism: Coturnix japonica (Japanese quail)
Lineage: Eukaryota; Metazoa; Chordata; Aves; Galliformes; Phasianidae
Source: RefSeq, a predicted model, not a curated record
AAGAUCUUGUAGGACACUCACAUUCGAAUUUCCUUUCAUCAGAGACCUGAACAGAGGAGUGGAAAAGAAGGAGACCUGUGCCCAGGCUGGGAGUGGUGCAUGGCUGGGGCACUAUAGGCACUCAUGGGCCCUCCCUUUUCCAGAUAAACCACCAUGAUUUCUGAGUUUUUACCUCCUUUUUAGCACUAUUUGUUGUGGCAAUUUAAUAAAAUGCUAUCAGAGAUUAUGUUCUGUCAUUGUUAUUUCUGUUUGUCUUCAUGUAACAGUAACCACUACAGAGAGAACCAAGACGUGAACUCAGAGGAAAAGUUCAGAAGCAAAGAGCAGCCGUAGGAAAUGCUGCAAUGGAAACAAAAGCAGGAAUUGUCAAACAUGUAGGAAAUCAUUGCUGUUUCAAAUUCAUUGAAGAUGCUGGAAUCAUUCCAAAGCAGAGCCAGACUGUUAAAUCACAUGAGAGUGGCUGCACUGAGUCAAAUCAAAAGCUCAUCAAGGCAGUAUCCUUAGUUAUCAGUAGCAGCUGCUGAAAAAGCAGAAAAGAAAGAGGACAAGAACGUACCUAACUAAUUUCUGAUAAAAUCUGUACUUCAGGGAUUUCUGGAGCUGUCCAUUGUGACCAGGCUAUUCUCUAAGACUGAAGAAUCCCAGCCCAUUCAGUCUCUCCAUUCACAGAAGAUGACCACCUUUCUAUCUUCAUCUGUGCCUUUUCUGAAGGGUUCUCAAGAGUAAAACAAAGUGUGGCCUCCUCGAUAUAAAACACCUUGCUGGUUUUAUUUCACUCCAACCCAGACAUCUGUUCUCCUCCAAGGUGGAAAUAAAGGAGAUAGGUUGGCAUCUGAUGAGCCAGCACUUCAAAGACCAGCACUGGCUUAGCUCCAGUUUCAGGAUUCUUGUUCCCGUACACAGCCUUCAGAUCUGUUCAAUGCUAUGCUAUAGUUUUCUAUGAAAACAGAUCUGUUCCUACAGAAGAAGAGCAUUGCUUACACUGCAAUAUUCUUAAAUAGAUUAUUUCAACAUGGGCACAGCAAUUUUAAAAAACAACCAACCAACCACCACCACAAACAACAACAAAAAAAACCCAGCUGGCAUUUACUGAAGCAGACUUUAUACAGGAGCAAGAUCAAUCUGAGGAAUGUAAACCUCAAGUGCCUACUAUAAUAUUGAUAUGCACUUCAGAUCUCAGAGUUUUGUAAUACAUUUUUAAUGAAGAAACACUUUAUAGAAACAGAGUGGGGCCCUUCAGAAUAUUGCCACGGUAUUUUCUGCUGAAUCCAUCUGACUUUAAAAGCAACAGAACAGCAUUGAAGGUAGGUAUAAUAUGCCCCCUCCCCACCCCAACCGUCCCCCCCCUAAAUUCCACUAUUUAUGAGGAAUGUGGCUUUCAUUUGUGAGAAGUAAGUGUGUGGUGAGUGUGUGUGUGCAUUUAGACAAUGGCAACAACCUGUUCUGCUGUUUGUGAUGAGAGGUCGCUGAGUUCUGUACGUAGGGACUAGUUCCUCUGAUGAAUUUACCCAGUCCUCUUUAUGUAGUUCAGGGCGAUUCAUGGACUGGUGUGUGGCAACAUAAAUCAUCCUGCAGAUUUCUCCUAAUUUUUGCUGCAAUUAUUGCUUUGAGUGUUCAGUAAUUUACAAAUCAAGCCUGGUCCUGAUCACCUCAAUCACACUGGUUUAUUUUUGCUUCCAGUCUGGGAUUCCCCCAAGGCAUCUGGGAGCUGUAAGGAGAAGGACACGUACAGUGUGUGCUGUUAUUGUAGGAGAAUAUCCAUUUGUAAAAGUUCUGCUUAGUGUGUUUUUUGCAUUACUGACACAUUCAUUUUUUAAACGGUGGAGAGGCAACAGGACAGGCGCUGUAUGAAUCAGAAGAUGAAGUGUUUGCUAUAGAACCUACCACUCUUGUAAUUAAUAGUGAAACAUUUGUUAAUAUCUGGUGAACACCUGCAUAUACUAUUCCUAAGAAUAACAUUUAAUUCCAGUUCCUCCAGGAGAAACGUUACAGAGCCAUGCUUCUUUCCUAUGAUGUGGUACAUUUGAAAAUAAAAUAAGAGGUUGGUGCUUGGAAGAGUUCCUAGAGCUUUUCCAAUUCAUCAUCUGUCUUUCUUUAAUGUCUCUGACUUCAUUCCCAAUAUGUCAUGCUGUUGCAAUGCUUUUCUGCAGCUGUCACCCCCACCUUCACACAGGGUUAAAGUGACACAUUUGUUAGGACUGUUCUAGGGCCCCUUUCAGGGUCCCAGAUGUUCAUUUACACUCAUGCCAAAGGACUGCACAGAGUGGGUAUUUACAUCAGUAGGUGGAAUCAUAGAAUCAUUAAGGUUGGAAAGACCACUAAAAUCACCUAGUUCAGCCAUCAACCCUUGCCUACGACCGCUCUAAAACAUGUCACUCAGUGACACACUUACCCUUUUCUUCAGCACUUCCAAUGACACUGAAUUCACCAUCAACAUGGGCAGACUGU